This 253-nucleotide ribosomal RNA is filed under the name uncultured bacterium. RNAcentral describes it as "partial 16S ribosomal RNA". It matches the Rfam family "Bacterial small subunit ribosomal RNA", at positions 524 to 776 of the family's 1533-position model. The record is from RNAcentral.
UACGGGGGGGGCAAGCGUUGUUCGGAAUUACUGGGCGUAAAGGGCGCGUAGGCGGCUCGUCAAGUCGGGCGUGAAAUCUCCGGGCUUAACCCGGAAAAGUCGUUCGAUACUGUUGAGCUAGAGUGUGGAAGGGGCCACCGGAAUUCUCGGUGUAGCGGUGAAAUGCGUAGAUAUCGAGAGGAACACCUGCGGCGAAGGCGGGUGGCUGGGCCGACACUGACGCUGAGGCGCGAAAGCCAGGGGAGCGAACGGG